Roseovarius sp. A-2 is the source of this 103-nucleotide non-coding RNA. Lineage: Bacteria; Pseudomonadati; Pseudomonadota; Alphaproteobacteria; Rhodobacterales; Roseobacteraceae. The record is from Rfam.
AUGACCGACAGCAAGCUGCCGGAUAUGCAGGCGGGCGGCGAAAAGGGAUAUACCAUCUCGCUGGCGGCCCAUGCCGGGGCUUCGAUGAUCCAUGAAUGCGCGG